RNAcentral lists this ribosomal RNA (239 nucleotides) under uncultured bacterium. RNAcentral's name for it is "partial 16S ribosomal RNA". It matches the Rfam family "Bacterial small subunit ribosomal RNA", at positions 118 to 349 of the family's 1533-position model. The record is from RNAcentral.
UGAGGAACAUGACCUUCGGCGGGGGAUAGCCGGCCCAACGGCCGGGUAAUACCGCGUACGACCUUUCGGGGACAUCCUCGGAUGGUGAAAGCAGCAAUGCGCCGAUGGAGUGCCUCGCGGCCUAUCAGCUAGUUGGUGAGGUAACGGCUCACCAAGGCGACGACGGGUAGCUGGUCUGAGAGGAUGGCCAGCCACAGUUGGGACUGAGACACGGCCCAGACCUCCGUACGGGGAGCCAG